CUCAGGCAGCCCAAGGGGCGCAGACUCACGAAGGCCAGGAUCUUGUCUCUGGGUGUCGCAGCCUCACGUGGGGAACGUGGUGCUUCAGUGGCGGUGCAACUGGCGGGUGGCGGUGGAAUCGUGAGACCUGGAGAAGCGGAAGGGCACUGGGAGAAGGACGCGGACGCCUGCAGGAAGUCAGGCCUGGAAGGCGCUCACAAAGAGCGGGCUGUCCUCUCAGGUACUGCGCCUGCCUGGGCCCAUGAUGGCAGGCCGAGCGGGCAGCAGCGGGUGGCCAGGGAGGCAGAGAGGCCGCAGCGCCAAGGGGCUGGUGGGCUCCCGCGGGAUGGGACGUGCUUUGGAUGAGUGAUUGGGGUGUCCCCCAGGCGGGUGGCCUCUCCGGGUGGUCCUCUCAUUCAGGAGGCUUGCCUUUCCUUCCUUGUCCCUAGUGGGCUGUUUCAGAGGGUGAAGUGUCAGUCAUCACGCUCGCUGUACAGUUCCUGAGGUGGCUCUCCAGGCCUGUGGCUUCCAGGAAGGGAUGUGCGGCCUUCACACAAGAUUCCCCCCAUGAAAUGUGGUGAGUUUCUUCUCUGGCUGUGAUUUCCAACCUGGAAUCGCCUUCAGGAGCAGAAAAGGGGACAGUUUAUCCAACGUGAUCUUUCCAGUUUGAGGGGCAUUCUUAGGAUGCAUCUCUCCUGUUUUCUCAUACGCAUUCAGAAUUUCAGAUUUUCUCAUUUCCUGAUUCUUAAAAGUAGACAUUGACUCCCUUAUUGCACAUAUCAAGUCAUGGCUUUUUGAAACACUGGGUGGAGUGAUUGUCAUCUCACUAGUGCACCAGGUUCUCAAGUAGUAAACUGACCUUCUUCCAUAUGUAGUCCAAUUUUGUAAGGAGAGGGAAUGAAUUUGAAAGUGGGCUGUGUGGUGAUAAUGAACUCUGACCUGAAUGAAAGAGGAAGGAGGAAAUGCUUAGAUAGUACACACUGCUUCUAUCAUGAAGAAGUGUGAGUGCAGCCACCAGGUAGGUCUAUGUUGUUGGCAGUAUGAAGCAAUAUAUGCCCAUUACUACUUUGGGGUAGCCAAUAGUAUUUAAGUGUAGGUAGUUUUGACUAAUCAUCCUCAUGUACAGGUUUAUAUUUAUUUCUUCAGGCUAGGUUAGAACAAAAACCAGGACCAUAACCUAAUUCUUGAUCAGUGCUUUAGUCCUAUUAUGUAGCAUGAUAUAUAGUACUCAAUUUGUUUUUUUAGUGGUUAUGCUCAUUUUAAGUACUUGAUUAAGGAGUUGUCUGCUAGGCCUUUCAUUUGUGAGUUACUCUUUUCCAUUUUGUGAUUAAUGAAUGACUUGUAGGGUAUUUGGGGACUCUAUAUCUUAGUCAUUAUCGUGCUUUAAAUUUACUCACAUUUAUUUUAAUAUAGACUUCUUGAAACUUAUUUUAUUCAGUGGGCUGUAAUCCAUUAUUUCAUUAUUUAGAUUUUCAAGUUGUGCCAGAUAUGAGUAGUAGGAAAUCUAAGUUGGAUUCUCAAUUUGGGCCAUUGUUUGAACACUUUACUUUCCUGUUUGUUUAUUUUUUAAAGUAUAAAUUGGCAAAUUUUAGUUGUAUAUAUUUAUGAUGUAUGAGGAGAUGUUAUAGUUUAUAUACACAGUGUGAAAUAAGCAUACUAACAUACACAUCAUCUUAAAUACCAGAGUAUUUUUGUGGUGAGAACAUUUGAAAUUUAUUCUUUUAGUAAUUUUGAAAUGUAUAGCAUAUUAUUAUUUAUUUACCAUGGUGUGCAAUAGUUCUCAAAAAACAGAAAAAUCUAUUCCUUCUGUCUGAUUGAGAUAUUGUAUGCUUUGACCAUUUUCUUCCCAUGUCUCCCAUGCCACAGCGUCUGGUAACACCAUUCGACUCUAUGCUUCUUUUAAUUUUAUUAUUUUUCAUUUCACAUGUAAAUGAGAAUAUGUGGUAUUUGCCUUUAUGGAGUACUUUCUUUUGACAGUAGAUAUUUCAGGUUCAAUGUACUCUUUAUUGGCUGUUCAAACUCUGGUAUUAGUUGUUUCUCUAAAAGCCCUGGUUCCUUUUAAUGUGGGCCUAGCACUUAGAAUCCUGAAUCUGAGUUCUAUAUGAGUUCAUUGCUGUUUGAGUGUCACUGCUCUGGCAUAUGUGUGUGUAGGCACACAUGCAUACACUUAUUUGUAUAUCAUUUAUAUUUCAGUGUUUAUUAUUCAUUUGUUCUGAAAUGUUCAUACAAUGAAAUGCAUUUUAAGUCAAAUGUGGUUGACUUUCAAUAAAUCAUUAUAAUCUAAACUGCUUUCAAGAUAAAGAAUGUUAAGCCACACCUGAGAAAGUUCCCUUGUGUCCCUUCUAAUUGAUUUUUUCCUACUGAUUAAAGGCAGGAUUCUGUUUUAUCCUACCAUUGAGUGUUUUACUUUGUCUUUUUAGAAUUUUGUAUAAAUUGAUUCUUCUUAAAAAUUAAUUGUCACUGGAUCCUUAUUUUGUUUAUUUAUAUGCUGUGCUGACAAUCAAACCCAAUGCCUCACACAUACAAGCAAGUAUUCUACCAUUGAGCCUCAACCUAGAAACAUAAUGGGUACUUACACUUUUUUGUUAUUGUUUUUGUUUUUUGUUUGUUUUAGUAAAAAUUGAAGGAGAAGUUUUAUUGUUUUCCUAGCAAUAGAGAAACAAUGGGACUCUUGUUCCAGAGGCUGUUGAUUCUGCCCAUCAGGAGGAAUAGGUUUUUUUUUUUAAAGAUACAAUUCAAAGGCUACAUUCCACCUAUUUUCUGUUCAGGAGUUGUAACUCACUUGUUGAUUUAGGAGAUAUUCAUUUCUGAGAUCUUCUGGUGCCGUCUUCAAGUCUGAAUUACUUAAUUCUUAUUAUGGAUGUGAGUCUUAUUAGGAUGAGUAAGAAAGUUAUGGGAUCUUACACUCUGUGUCUGAAUCAAUAUGCUUUAGAGGUUCAUUCAUGUUGCUUGAAUCAGUGUUUUGUUUUGUUUUCUAUUUUAUUACUGCAGUAGUAUUCAUUUUAUGAAUAUAUCAUAGUGCAUUUAUUUUUUUCCAUUGAAGGAUAUGUGAGCAUUUUCCAGGCUUUGAACUUUAUCUUACUAGAUGUAUUGGGGAAAAAUAUGUAUGUGUAUGUGUAUAUGUGUGUGUAUACACACAUAUAUAUGUAUGUAUGUAUAUUUCACUUAGGUAAAUAACUCAAAGAGUGGAAUGGCUACCACAUAAGGUAAAUCUUUGUUUUCUUUUAAAAGAAACUGUCAAAAAUUCUGAACAUUCUCAUGAGCAAUAUAUGAGAGUUCCAGUUGCUGCAUAUCUUCACAUUGUUUAGUGAUGUAAGUCUUCAUACCUUAGCCAUUUCUGCUGGGUAUAUAGUGGUAUCUCAUUGUGGCUUAGGGUUGUACUUCCAUGUUGACUAAUGAAGUUGACAACAUUUGACUGUCUUUUAUUGGCCAGUCAUUCUUUUUCUGUGAAGAAUAGAUUUGGAUCAUGUCUAUUAUUUGUUGAGUUGUCCUGUUAUUACUGAGUUGUAGAAGUACAUUUAGUAGGACUGGAUAUAGUCCUUUGUCAGAAAAAGGUUCUGUAAUGGGAUUACAGGUAUGACCUACUCAAGUUUUAAACAUAUUUUUUUAAACUGAGCCACUACUGUUUCUAUCAAAUCCAUGUUGCCUGAUCACUUAAUGCUGUAUAGACUUAUGCACAGAAUUAGAUAAUAUUUUGAAAAGGUUUUUUUUUGUGUGUGUGAAGGAUCCUCAAAGUCAGGGGGCAUACCUGUGGUCCCAGCUUAUUGGGAGACUGAAACAGGAGGAUCAUUUGAGUCUCAAAGUUCUGCUGGAUUUGUGUGCAUUAUUUUUUAAGCUUUAUUUAGAAUAAUACUUGUAGGAUAUACUGAGAGGUAAAGGUAGAUAAACAUUUAAAUAAUGAUAUAUGUAUCAUGUCCAUUUUUAUUAGGGUAGAGUGACAUACACCUAUUUUGUAAUAUAAUUUUGUUCAUGAAAGCAUCAUAAAUGGUAUUAUCAAAUAUUAUUGGAGCUUGACAAAAAUGAAAAAUUCAAAUUUUACAAAUCUCUGUAGAUAAAUGUCUUUUAAUUAUUGUGUUUGCUGAGACUGUUUUUUGUAAAACACAAAUACAUAGUGAAAUGUGUAUUUUGAAAUAAAACUCAAUUUGAUAAUGGAAAAGCUUAGAAAGGAGUAUUUAGAUUUGGUUUACCAUGAAAUUAAAAUACUUUUUUUAGUUGAACAACUAGUCUGAAGUUUUUACUCCUUAAGAACAAACAUAUUAGAUGAUUGGAUUCUGUCUCUGAGUAAUGCAAGAAUAAUAAAUAAGCAUCAAAACUCAGAGAAUCGUAAAAUGAAUGAAUUCUGGGCAAUAAAAUUUCUGGAAUCAAUUUGAUCUGAAGUCAGAACUUAUCAACAUUCUAAUUGUCUAGAUUUGUCAUUCUGUUAGAGAUAGCUGAUUCAUAAAGGAAUUCUGGGUCACAGAAUAUAAAUGACAAUCUGUUCUUGCUGCAUCAGCCUUUGCUUAUGCUAUUCAAAUGCACGGAGCAUCAAAUCUGGAUGUUUUAUUAUAAUACAGAAAAGAAAUCUGAAUUCCAAGCAAAGACUUGAGAAUUGAGUGUCUACAAUAAGGUUUAAUUACAGAAAAUUUUAUACUUACCCUGUGUCUGUCCAUCUGUCUCUGUCACAGAUUUCCACUAUGACUCCAAAAACAAGAACAAUGAGGAAAAAGUUUUUGACUGAUUUUAUGUAGGACUUAAAACACCUAGAGAAAGUGUUCAGCUCUGAGCUAGGAAAUUCUCCCCGCCCCCAUAACCUUAGAUGAACAUCACUGUCCUUUGUCAAUAUCUAUCUAUCUAUCUAUUUAUUUACUUAAUUUAUUUUUGGAAGGGGAUUGGGGAUUGAACUCAUUGGCAUAUGACCGCUGAGCCACAUCCUCAGCCCUAUUUUGUAUUUUAUGUAGAAACAGAGUCUUAAUGAGUUGCUUAGGGCCUUGCAGUUGUGGAGGCUAGCUUUGAACUCACAAUCAUCCUGCCUUGGCCUCUUGAGCUGCUAGGAUAACAGGCAAAUGUCAAAACAUUCAGCUGACAAUGUCCUUUGCUCGGUAGUUAGUUAAGAAAAAAUUUCUCAGGAUUUUGUGUCCACAAAAAACAUUCCAAAAAUGUUGAUGUCACACUUCAGGCAUCAUGUUCUGGGUUUAAAAAUGCCCUGCAUGAUACAACUUAGCUUUGAACAUCAAAUGCAGAUUUCACAAUUUUGAAACCAGGCGAUUAAGAAAUAAAGGUGUUGAACAGCAAAAUGCAGCACAUCCUGUUGUCAAAUACACACACACACACACACACACACUCGCACGCGAGCGCGUGCGUGUGUGUGUGUGUGUCUGUCUGCUUACAAUGAAUAGACAGCUGGAGGCCAUCCAUAACCUUGAGCCCCUGAGUCUCCAUUCAUGACCCUGAGUCCCUGAGCCUCCAUUCAUGACCUUGAGCCCCUUACCCUCCAGAGUUUUGCAGAAACAAGAAUGUAGCACACAACACCUCCCCAUAAACACACUAUAUUAUUUACUAGACAGGCCAGCUGAAGUAUGGUGUGCCUUUCUAACAAUGUGUGGUUCUAUUUGCAUAUAUAUGGCAUCUGUAUUAGAGAAUGCUAAGACAGAACCUGAUGAAGCAAAGUUGCUCUUUCUCUUAAAAUAAAACCACAGUCUUGCACCCUUUUCAAAUCACUGGUUUUGUAACAUGCUGAUUUGUUACAUUUGUGAAACCAAGAAUAAGAAUGAUGUAAGAAUGAUGUAAAUUAAAAGCCCACAAAGUAAUGCAUCCAUCUUGCCAGCAACUGUUAAAAGGAUGCAGGUGUGUCACCAAGGAAAAGCAAGCCGUUCCCCAGCCACAGUAUGAAAACUCAGGAACUUACCUUUCCCUGGACCUUUCUUCAAAUCACUCUGCAAGGUGCUUUUUCUCAGAGAGUUAGGGUUUUAACAGCUAACAAAGUAUGAGAAGAUCUCUUCAACUUCAGUACUUCUGGUUCUCCCAGGCCUCUGCAAGACUCAGUCUUCAUCUGGGCAUGGUGGUAUGCAGCUGUCAUCCAAGCAGCUGGGGAGGCUGAGGAAGGAGGAUCACAUGUACAAAAAUAGCCUCAGGAACUUAGCAAGGCUGUAAGCAACUUAGCAAGAUCCUGAAUCAAAAUUAAAAAAGAUUUGGGGAUGUGGCCUAGUGGUAGAGUGUCCCUUGGUUUAAUCUCCAGUAACAAAAGAAGAAAAAGGAAAAAGAGGAGGAUAAGAAGAAGGAGGAGGAGGAGGAGGAGGAAGAGGAGACUCAAUCUUUGGACUCAGACUCAGUUUUUACUGUGUGUAAAUGUUAAUAAUUACAUCAUUUAAAAAUGUUUUUAAAAUGAUAAUAGAUAUACUUACUGAAUGCUCACCAUAGUGCUCUAAACCAGAUACCUUCACUGAGUUUUGCUGAUAUGGCAAUAAUAAACCGACUGACCAUACUAAGAUGUCACCUCUCUUAAUGGGUGUUUUAUUUGGGAGCCUCUGGUCAAUUACUCUCUCACAACACACGUGUAUUAACAACCCCUGCAAAUCCGACUAACUCAGACUCUGUGAACAGUAGCAAACUAUGAGCAGACCCCAAGUAGGCACAGAGACAUUUGUUCAAACUCCACUGCAGGUGUGAACUUACCUGUCUGCCUCACUGCUCAUCAGUUCUCAGGCUAGGGCAGUGGUCACACCCAUGGCACAUGGGGCCUGUCUAGAGGCAUUUUUGAUUGUUAAAAAAAUUAAGAUGUGGUCAUAGCAUAUCUAAUAUGUAGGGAACAGAAUGGCUACACAUCAUAAUUAUGGGCAAGCACCUCACCACAAACAAUCCUAUGGUGUCUAAGGUUAACCAUGCUGGAGCUCAGGAAACCUGGGCUAGAUCACACAUGCUGCACAUGAAAGCACUGGGCCUGUCUAGUUCUUUAUUUUGUCCCCAGUACAUUAACCACAAUGAUCAUCUCCUUACUAGGUGUCUCCUACUGGUGAGGAAGGGAGGAAAAAAAGAAGGGAGAGAAGAAGACACCCAGUAUAUUCUCAGGAGAAACUGAAAGCCUGCAUACAGGAAAAUUGCUAAUUUGGGCCUGGUUGCAGUGCUACAGUCUCUCUGUCAAAGAGUUCUGCAAUCCAUUCCAAAGUUUUCCAGGCCAAGUCCAGUUGUUGAUGUCAAGCCAGAUGUCCCUCCUUGAACAUCAGGGAAGAUUAUUCCUAAGCUAUAAUCCCAAUUGAGAAAGUAGUCUUUCCCCCUCUUCUAUCGCAAGCAUGUGUUGGGGUAGGGGAGGUACUGAAGAUUGCACACAGGAACAUUCCACAGAUGAUAUACACCUGAACAAGAUCCUUAGCCCUUUUUUAAAAUUUUAUUUUGGGACAGGGUCUCAUUAAACGGCACAGGCUGGCCUUGAACUUGCAACCCACCUGCUUCAGUCCCAUGAAUCACUUGGAUUAAAGGCAUAUACCACUGUACCCAGGGCAUACCUUCCUGGAUAUAGUUAAUUCCCAGAGAGUCAGCCAUCUCCCUAGCAUGCUCACCUUAUGCAAAUUAGGCAAUCAAAUUCUCACACCACCAGUCCCCUAUUAGGCACCCAGCCUCACAGGCCUCUUUUUGCCUGCUCCAAGCACAGCAGGUCCAGGUACCAAAGAACCAGGGUUGACCCCUGCCCACUAGAGCCCACUGAAAUGACUAAAAUAUACUAACCCUAACUAAACCUGCUUCUGCUGCCUUGUCGUUUCUUCCUGCACAAAUACAGUAAAGUCUCUUUCCCAUGUUGUCCAUCACCUUCUGCCCUCUCUGCUCCUAACCAACCCUGGCACUUCCCUCAUGGCCCUACAGUGCUGUUCAUAGAAAACUCUAGCUCUCUGUGACAGUCUAUCUAUUUCUGUGAGUCUUCCAUAUCUGAUGAAGACAAACCCAAGGCACUCUUACAAUAAUGCCAAACCUGUAAAGCUUCUCCAUAGGGCCAGGGCAACUGCAUAUAUAGCCUUCAACCCUGAGCCUGGGUCCUGGGGGUGCACCAGAUUCCUGUUAGUCCCUCCCAUUUUAAUGCUGGGUAAUAGUGUCAAUGGUGAGAGCAAAGGAAGGCCACUGAAUUUGUGAAGUAGGAAGUGUGCAAGCACUGUUCCUGUUGCUCACACUCUCUUCUUUCAAAUUGGGCCACAGAAGAGACCCAGGAGCAGACAAAAGCCCACAAAAGAUGGGGAUAGAGCUAGACUUGGACCCAAGAAUAAAAUGUUAGUUCUCUUUCCAGCCACUCAGUUAUUUUCCAAAUGAAUAUUUUAAAGCAUUGAAAAAAUGCAGGCCAUAUGUUCUGGGUAUCCUUACAAUCAAAGUAAACUUUUUUACCAGAAGAAAAUAGACUGUCGCCACUUUAUGUCACCACUCCUCCCAAAUUGUAUUUAGGGCCUGUGACCACAGCUGUGCCACCUCCUGAACUACAGGCUGGGGGAAAUGGUCAGGCUGACCUUCAAGGGGAGGAGGACUUGUAACCUUCCAAAGGAUUUUCCUGCUACAGUACUAUAGUCAUUGCUCUCUCUAAUCAAAGCCCCUAGCUUCAUAUCUGUUCCUGGGCACUGCAGUAAAAUCAGCCUGAGCACAGGAACACUUCAAGGACUGUGAUGGGAGCGGCUCAGAGAAGCCAGCAGGAAAACACAUGCUUGCCCUCUCAUGGUCUCAACAAGAAACUGCAGGUAUCAGCACACCAUAAACCAGGAUCUUCAUAUAAGAAAACUGCAAUCUUUCCAAUUGUGGUCAGAGCACAGUGACAGUGGGUUUUGCUUCCAUCUUGGAAGAGUAGUAAAGUUCAAAAUGUUUAAAAGGUUUUGACUAUCUGGUGUGGGUGUUGUCAUUGAGAGUCUUAAAGGGGUCAUUACAACAGGAUUCCCUGGUUUCCUGAGCACUAGGGAACUGUGGUGCCUACCCCUUUGGAUCUCAAGGUAUUUCCAUCUGCACCGGAACUGGACAGUUUUUGAUGCCAGCAUGUGGUGAGUGUCAGUCAGUGAGGUCAUCUUAAAAAGUUUUUUUUUUUUUUUUUGGUUUUUGUUUUGUUUUGUUUGUUUGUUUUUAGUACAAUGGUGAAAAAAGAUCUUGUUCUUGGAGGAGAGACCAAGUCAGACCAUAAGUACUCAUCCCCAAACAUGAACCUGAAGGGAUCAUCAAAAUUAAGAUUCCUGAGCCACUCUGAGUCUAAUACUAAUACUGUCUGUUUGUGACCUGAGAAUCCACAUUCAUGUCCAGUUCUCUGUUGAAAUUGUUGUUGGUCUGGGUUCCACUCUUUGGGACCCAGUCUCAACCAUAAUAUGACUUAGGCUAUAGUGAAUCUUCCUAAAUGAUAGGGGACAGAUGUGAGUGGUGGGAGCAUGAGUUUCAGGGAAUAAUUCUAUAAAGUGGGCCCACAAUGUUGAACCUCACCAUGCUGUAUUUUCCAAGAAACAAUUUACCUGCAGCCUUGCCCUGCUAAAGUGGACAGGAUAUGUCACACUCCUCAGCAAACUAUUUGUUUUCUGCAGGAGAAAAGCAGGACUGUAAUAAUGUUGAUAAGAGGAACCAAUUUCCAUGCAAGUUAAAAACUGCACAUUGCCUCAAAGAACUCCUCAUCUCAGAAUCUAGCCUGAGGAUUUUCACAUAGUACAUAAUCAAUAAAUUUAUGUGGUUUAUAAAGUCAAGACCUGGACCUCCCUUCUCCUCAGAGCAGUCUCAGAAGGACAAACUAGAAGCUACUGGAUGGACCAGAGAUAGGUGAUGAAAGGUUGGGGGUGAGAAGAGCCUGUCCUUGGCCUGAGAGCUGAGCGGAGCCUAGCUGUAAGCCCUGCUCUCUCCUUCACUAUUUCAUAUAGUGUCACUGUACAGAAGUACAUCUUUCUUGAGGCUGUGACUCACAUCAGCUUAACACAGUGACCCCAGGUGAUUCUUGUGAACCUGGCAGGGAGGAACAGGAGAAUGCUGAGAAAGGGUCCUGCAUCUGAGGGGAUGGGGCACAAGAGUACUCAAUUACUUGUUUUCCUUAAUGUUUUAAUCAUUCAUUUUUUCUUGCAGGGUUAAAGUAGGAGAAAAACUAUUUGAAAAUUUGAAAAGUACAUGUAUUAAGACCACUAAGUUAUUUGUUACAUUGUGAUGGCAAAUAAGACCUGGUUGUGGAAUGAAAUCAUAAAACUGUUCUGGUAAAGAUCCUCUGCCUCUUUUGGUGCCAAUACCAUGCUGUUGUUACUAUUGCUCUGUAGUAUAGUUUAGGGUCUGGUAUAGCGAUGCCACCAGCUUCACUCUUCAUGCUAAAGAUUGCUUUAGCUAUUCUGGGUCUAUCAUUUUUCCAGAUGAAUUUUAUGAUGGCUUUUUCUAUUUCUAUGAGGUAUGCCAUUGGGAUUUUGUUCGGAAUUGCAUUAAAUCUGUAGAGUGAUUUUGGAAAUAUGGUCAUUUUGAUCUUAAUUCUGCCUCUCCAAGAGCAAGGUAGAUCUUUCCAUCUUCUAAGGUCUUCUUUGAUUUCUUUCUUUAGGGUUCUGGAGUUUUUAUUAUAGAGCUCUUUCAACUCAUUGGUUAAGUUGAUUCCCAAGUAUCAUAUUUUUUUGAGAAUAUUAUAAAUGGUGUAGUUUUCCUCAUUUUCUUCUCAGAAGAUUUGUCACUGAUAUACAGAAAUGCCUUUGAUUUAUGGGUGUUGAUUUUAUAUCCUGCUACUUUGCUGAAUUCAUUUACUAGUCCUAGAAGUUUUCUGGUGGAUCUUUUUGGCUCUUCUAGUUAUAGAAUCAUAUUGUUUGCAAAUAGUGCUAAUUUAAGUUCUUCUUUUCCAAUACAUAUCCCUUUAAUUUAUUUUUUCUGUUUAAUUGAUCUGGCCAGUGUUUCAAGGACUAUGUUGAAUAUAAGUGGUGAAAGUGGGCAAUCCUACCCCUUUUCUCUAUAAAUAUAUAUGGAACUGUUUAUAAUUAUGUAUUAUAUACAAUAUGCACAUAUAUGAUACAUACAAUACAUAAACAAAACAUUUUUAUAUACAUGAUUGGUUAUAGGGCUCCCUUUUAAGUACCCAGUGAAGUCCUGGUUUAAUUUAUAACAAAGAAGACACCAGCCAAAACUAAUCUCAACCCUCCCUUACAAAUGAGUCUGAGGCUGGUAUCAGACUUGUGGUCAGAUUUCCAUGUCAUUUUAUAAACACAGAAGAACAUGAGCGAUAGAGGGAUUGGGCAGAGAACUAUUUCAUUGAGGACACAGAGUAAAAGGAGGACAAGAAGAAAUAUAAUUAGUUGUGUCACUUUGCAUCAUCAGAGAACUGGAAUCUGAAAUUCAUACAAGGAGGAUUCAAUCUGUUAUACUUGGGCACAUGGAUGACACGGGGCCUAUAGUGAAAUGGUUAUUACAAGCUUUUGAAAAAAAAAUCAUAUGAGUGGCACAUAAUGGAUAAACAAUCAAUAUGUACACAGUAUCUUCCAAGUGGUUUGUGAGCUGUGGCCCAAAGCACAUACAUGUAUUAGGAGCCUUGAUGAAAUUACCCAUCAGUGCCUUCUACAAUUAUUCACAUUUUAAAGGUGAGAAAACACAGAUAUGUCUGGAUAAUAAAUGGUAAGUCAGCAACACACAGAGAACUACACAGAGACAGAACUCUAUAGAAUCCCUUCAAAGGCUAUUUUGUUCCUGAUAUAAGGAAUGUCUGUCUGGAGAAAUAUUAUUUUCUCCCCAUUUUGAAGACAGUGCCUAGAGAAGACAUCCCAGGAGCAACACAAAUGUUUUUCCUUCUUUAAUGUUAAGGAACUCUUCAAAUAAAAUGCCAGAUCCAUUAUGAGGAUAAACACUUGGAAAUUAUACAGUGCAAAAGAGCAUACCCCAGGCCCAGAUGCUAAGUAUGACUCAGGAAAUAAAUAAAUCAAAAAGGCAUAUAAGUCAUUUAAUAAUUAUGUAACUAUUACUAAAAAUAAAUGUCAUUUUAUUCAAUAAACAAUAAAUUAUGUAUAAAUAUUUCAAGGAUUUGCCAAAUCUUAUCCCAUAUGAUUUUGUAAUAAACUCCAAAAUCAAGAUAAUAGAAUGCAUAAUACAGUGUCAAAAACUUUCAAGGGAAAAAAAAAACAAGCCUUCAAGGAAGAGGAGUGUAUAUUUUAGUGAAUGUCGUUCAACAAUUUAUUUACUAAAUGAUUUUGAGGAAAUAGAUUUAUUUUCCUGCAGCCUUAAGGAAGGGAGAUUUUCCCCUAUUUAUUUUUCCUGUUGGAAUUUCCCAAGAUAAGCCCUAUAAUUCUAUCGGAAAUGACGUAUAAAAUAAAACAGAGAAAAAUACAAUACAUACUGAGGGGAAGCAAAAGAGCAAUUUGUUUUUAUUAAUUAGUAAAAUCAUUUUUUUUUCUUGAAAUGAAACUAUAUUUGCCUUUUUGGGUUUAAUUUUUUAAUCCUUGUAGCCAGGUAUCACAACAGAAAUGCAUGGAAGUUCCUUGAACUUCCAAUUCAUACAGGAGAUAAUCUAAGUGUUCAAUAAUCAUAAAAAUUCAACAUCUUUAGCAUUUAGAGAAAUAUAGAAUGAAAUCCAAUCAUAGACAAAAUUAAAUAGUAUUGAUGAAAAUACUAAACAAAUGAAUACUUGUAAACUCAAGAGCAGUUUAAGUUAUUAUUAUCUAUUUGUGGAAACUGUAUUUCUAUUGAAGAUACAUGACACUCCCCAUCAAUGAGAGUUACUUCUCAAAUCACAGCAUAUGUGACCAUGAAAACAUGAAAGACCACAACAGUACUCUUGCAAACACUUGAAAGAGAUAAAUAAUAAUCUGUGAGGUAAAUGGACACUAGGUUCCAGUCUCAUUUUUGGUUAUAGUAUAUCCAGUUUAAAAAUAGUGUAAAACACUAUGUUUAAGGUUUGUAUAGGUGUAAUAUUCAUGUGGUAAUUCACAUGUACACAAGUUUAGAAAAAAAUAUUUAGGAAUUGUGAGAAAAUAAAAAUUAUGAGAAACACAUAAAAGACUCAAUUACACAUUCUGUAUGUAGAUGAUAAAACUCAUCAUUAUGAAGAUGAGGAUUUUCCCCAAAUUAACCUACAAUAUAUUACCACCAAAAUUGCUUUGUACAUAUAUGAAUAUAUCACAGGCAAUUGUACCUUUAUGUGUAUCUAUAAAGCAGUAAUUCUUUAAAACUAUAAAUAAAUGGAAAAGAGGAAAAGGUAGAAAAAGAGUGAAAGGGGAAUUACUGGUAAUGAAGUGGGGCAAAUUAUAUUCCAUGCUUAUAUGAUUAUGUCAAAAUGAACUCAAAAAUAAUAUGUAACUUAAUGCAAUAAUUUUAAAAAUCAACAUGCUUUUCUUUUAAUAAAAUAAAUAACCAAAGCAUACAUUCUUAAAUUCAUAUAUAUAUAUAUAUAUAUAUAUAUAUAUAUAUAUAUAUAUAUGUAAUUAUACAAGAAAUUUUUCAAUUGUAAGAGCAAAAGAAAUACUUAUCAUCUCCUGAAAUUCAUGUAUAUUAUGAAAUUAUGCUUUUACAAUAAUCAUCGAGGAAUCACUAUAUGAACAAAUCAGUAUAUGAAUCCACAUAUAAGUAAAAAUUACAUACUUAAUUGCAAUUGAAAAGUCUAGAUAAAUCCAAUCUUAACAAGACCAAUCUCAGCAAAUUAGCUAGACCCUAUAUCAAAAUAAAAAUUAAAAGUUCAAGUUGUAUAGCUCAGUGGUAAGUAUCCCUUGGUUCAAUACCUAGUAAUGUUUAAGAAAGUAAAAAUGAAACUAGCUAGCUGAGGAACAAGCAAGGCACUAUAGACCACAGGUCCUCUCCUGAAGGAAAAGGGCAUGUAAAGAUUUGAUUAUUAUAACCAUCCCAUCUGUCUAUAACCAGCAUCUGGCAAGAGCCUAGGUUGCAGGUGUACUCCUGCCAGAUAGUAUUUCAGAAAGGGACUGAGGAUGCCCUGCAAGGUUAAGGAAGGCUGUGAGAAGUCUCUGCCACUCGUAUGUUCCCCACUUGGAUGAGCCAGUAGGAUUGGGGGUGUACUGCCCAGUGGAGUGCUUAGGACUGCAGUCUACAGAGACUGCCCAGAGUCCCCAUUUGCCAGCACCUGUUCCUGCCACAGCCAGGCCCAUCUCCCUUCCCCAGCUUCCAACAGUCUCCCUUCCCCAGCUUCCCUCCUCAGACUCAUGAUGUCAUAGCACACUAACCAUUUCCUUGUGCUCAGGAGCCAGGCCUGCUCCAUAGGGAUCUCCACCACCUGUACAUCAGAGCAACCUGGGACUCCCAAGCAUGAGAGUGAAGCCUGGAGUUGAAUGCAGAAAUGGCAGACUCAAGAGAAAAGGACCAGAUUUCAGAUUCAUGUAUAUUAUGGAAUNAUAAGGCCAGUUUUAAAUGUUGUUGGUUGCAGCUUUUUUUUUGAGGUCUCAGAUUGCACACCAGAGCUUCAAGCUGCUGCUAUUUUGGGGGGUAGGAUACCUGAGAUGGAACUCAAGGGCACUCAACCACUGAGCCAUGUCUCCGGCCCUAUUUUGUAUUUUAUUUAGAGACAGAGUCUCACUGGGUUUCUUGGCAGUUAUCUUUUGCUGAGAGUGGCUUUGAACUCAUGAUUCUUCUGUCCCAGUUUCCCAAGAUGCUGGGAUUAUAGACAUGCAUGAGGUGUGCCUAGUCAGGCUGCUGCUAUUUUAUGGCAAGAUUUCCUUCCAGAAGUUGGAUCUAGCCCAACAAGCAGAACAAACCUUGUAUAAUAAGUAAUUUCAGUUUAUGGAUUAUAUAUGUUGCAUAUUAUUCAUGAAGAAAACUAAUAUAAUGACAAUUAUUACAAAAUUUCACUUAACUUUUGUGCCCUCUCUUCUUCUUAGGGGACAGAUUUCAUGUUGAACUGGGAAGCAACCACCUAAAGCAACAAUAUCCAAUGUAAAACAUGUAAGGCACAGAGUAAUUUAAAUAUUUCUAGUAUUCCAUUAACAAAAUAAAAAGAAACAGUUGAAAGUAGUAUUAAUAACAUAACUAUCCUACCCAGAAUAUUAUCUUUCUGUGACAGAUAAAAUACUACUAAUGAAGUAUGUGUGUUUUGGGAACUACAACCUCGAGUUUGACUUUCUCUGUCAUCUCAGUUCACAGGAACCACAUUCCAGAUUUUAGAGCUAGGGGUCCCUUAACAUCAGGAACUCAAAGGACCUGAUCAUCUCUUUACAUGAUAGAGUUGAGGGACAGAGUUCCCUACUAAUAUUUCUCCUCAUGCCUCAAAAUUAGGAGAAACAAUGUCCUGAUUGUGAGAGGAAGCUCCAAUCAGUAAGUGUCCAAAAGGAGAUUAUUUUUCCCACUUAAUACUGAUUACAAGUUCUUUCCCAUUUCAGACAUCAGGUGGAAAAAAAAAGAUGGGAUUCCAGGAGGUUAGGAACACAUCACCUGCAGUCUUCCACAGCCUUGAUUCUAUUGUUUAAAUACAUGAAAUACAAACUUUUUGGGCAAUUUGAGCUUAGACCAAAUGGCCAGGCUAUAAUAUCUGUUUUCUCCUGUGGACAAAUUCUCACAACUCAUAUGCAGGUGGACUGGGACUAAAGAUGAGCUGUAUCUGACUCCAAAUCCAAAACACCUGCACAAGAUCACAUGACUCUUACAAUAUUCCUUAUGCUUAUCACACCUGGGAAGUAACAAUUAUUUUAAAACGCAGGAAUUGUAGUGUAUGCAUAUAAAAUCCAGCCCUAUAUAUUACAUAGUAUAACACAAAAAGAACAUGCUCAUAUAUCUGUGUCAUCUCAGGGUUUCCAUUUCAGGAUCCAAGGAACCUUGUUUCAGUUUACAUCAAAGGCAAACACCAGCUAGAAUUUAACUCAACACUCCUUUCCCUAUUAAUAUACAGGUUGAUAUUGAAUAUGUGGUAAGUUUAAUCAGGGGUUACUGAUUAUGAAACAGGCUGAUCUAUAGGGAUGUUAAGGACCACCAAGUCCUAUGCUUUUAAAGCAAAGAGGGACAUGGACUAUAGAGGUAUGCAGCACAAGUUUGUUUUAAUUGAGGCCAAGAUAGGACAUAUAAUUAUUGGCAGUACCAUGAAACAUCAGAGAAUUGGAAUGUGGAUUUCAAACAAGGAAGUGUUCACAUAUUAUAUUUGGGUGUGUGGAUGACCUGAGUGCCAACGAUGAAAAUUGUUAAAAGGUUAUAAGCUUCUGAAAGAAAAUUGAGCCAAAAUUUUGUCUCAGUGGUAGAGUGCUUGCCUAGCAUGUACGAGGCACUGAGUUCAAUCACCAACUUCACCCAUGCAGAUGGCAACCUCACCCCAGAGUAGCAAUAAAGGGUAUUUUCUGAGAAUCCUUUGGCUUUGACAGGUCCAUCCAUGCCUCCUGGGCCUCCUUGAGCCCAGGAGGAGGCAAAUCUAUGGUGGAAAGGAGGAAGGAAGGAUAUCUCAGACACAGAUUUUGACCAGAGGAAGCUAUCACACGGCUCUCACUGUCAUGGUCUUUGGCACCUCCAGCUAUAGAGCUUCUGCCUCCUCCUAUACUCUGAUGCCUGCAUCAAGGUCCAGCCAGGCCCAGAGGCCAGUCCAGCAGAAAAGGAGGUACAGAAGAGUUGUGAGCUAUGUCUCAGGAAACCCUUCACUCCAGCAGGACCCAAAUCCAGACUACCAGAGAUACAAGCACAGCUGGCCUGUGACAGGCUGGCCUCACAGGAGGGGAAGGGGAAGGACUGGGAGCUGAGAGGCCAGAGAUGGUAAUGAGGAUUGAUAACCUGGGAACCUUUGCUUCCAUACAGCAUGCACAAGGCAGAUUGCCGUUUAUACAGUCACAUGACUGCUAUACCAGUCCCCUAAAUUGCUGCCCAUCUGCCCUCAAGGUCCUCCUAAUCCAGCCUGAGACUUUGGAUAACACAUGUAGGUACAGAAGGCUUCUUAGCAGCAGAAUUCACACUGUGGAAGGUGAGCUGAUCCCAGGUCCCCAGAAAUGAAGGGAUGAUACAGACACCUGACAUCACCUCUUCACACAGGUGUGUGUGCACAAGGAGGCUGCCAUGACUGCCCUGCCCUCCCUGAAUAUCAGCAUGUGCACUUAUGCAUACCCAUCAAGGUGCCACCAGAUAGCAUGAAUGUGGCCAGCAGGAGAGCCUAUUGGGGUGGUUACAGAGAAUUAGAAAGGCUGAGGGGAAAGCCUCUUUGGCAUGGAGUGACCAAACUGAGCAAGGCCCUCAGCCUCCAGGAAACUCAGUUGACCUCCUUACUUCAUCACUGUCCUCACCCCCUCCCACACAGCCCCUGCUGCCCAUGCCUAACCCAAGAUGGCUGUGCUGGCUGCUAUUGUGGAUGGGGCUGUAAUGCAGCCAUGGGACAAAUUGUAGCCUCUAGGAGAAAGGAGGGGUUGUCCCAGCCUAUACCAGUCCCACUCCCACUGCAGACUCCAAUGCUUGGGGGUCCAACAGAAAGACUAAGAUGCAUAGACAUGGGGUAAUCCAGUGAGUUAUAAGGGGGGUGUGGAGGGGGAGGAGAUAGAAGGAGGAAGAAGGUCCAAAGCUUAUGGAAAGAACCAGUCAGGGGUCUGGGGUUGUGGUUCAGUGGGGCCUAUCACAUGUGGGGCCCUGGGUUUAACCCUCAGAACCACAAAAAUAAAUAAAUAAAAUAAAGUUAUUUUGUCCAAUUACAGCUAAAAUAUAUUUACAAAAAGAACCAGUCAGUAUUUCCUGUUGACUCCCCUUCUCUUGGGAGACGUUUAUUACUUUGUUACCUUUUGCUCUUGCAAUAAACAUGCUGGGUUUUUGUUUAUUUGUUUGUUUAAUUAUUUGUGUCCUGUUCUUCAAUUCUCCGCAGAGGGGAGAAAAUGGACCCUUCAGUAACAGAGGAAGGAGGAUCCUCUGAGCCCGGAUUCUAGGUUCAGACUAAAGAACACAGCAACCACCACUCUACCUAAAGACAAACAAAUGAAUGCAGCCUUUGGAUCCCAUAGGCAAGCAAAGUGGUGGAAGGCCUCUGGAAAAGUGCUUCCAUAUUGGUUAGAGAGAGAAUGGGCAGGUAAAAAAAUGGAGAUUUGGCCUCCUCCCUUUGAAGCCCAGCUCCAGGUGCCCAGGCCUCAGGCUUCUGAGCCACCCCAUCCAACAGCUCUGGAGCAUGCAGUCCACUAUACACGCCCUGCAGGGCGGUUCUCAAGUCUGCAUGGAGUGGGGAAUCCACUGAUGGCCUGCAGGAGGGCAGAAGGACCAGUCCAGCUUUGACUAUACUUGUGGCGCCCAGGGCAGAGGUCGUUCAGAUCACAGCUUCCUCCUUUUUCUCACCCCAUCCUGGCCCUGGGUUUCCAGCACCUAGUGGAUUAUCUGUAGCUUGGAUACUUUGUAGCACUGUGCUGUCAAUCUGGCGUCUCUUCCUUGGUGGGUCUGUUUUGGGCCCACCAGUGGAAGCAGGUGGGGGGGUCUCAAGGCAACAUGGUUGAGUGGCAUUCAGGCGCCAGGGGUGGGGUAAUAGGGACAGGAACUUGGAGCUUCAGAAGGGCAACUGGGUGGGGGUCUCCAGGGGCUUAGAGGUCAGACCUGAAAAGCAGAGAGCAAAACCUUCCAGGAAGUGAACCUAGAGCCUCACCCUGGAGCUGCGUGCCCUGAAAGGUAGGAGAACCAGGCAGAGUUCACUACAGUCUGGAAGCCCAGCAACCCACCUGUCUUCCCAGCACCCCCUUCACCCCAGGCCAGCUUGUAACAAGUAGCUCUUUUCUUUCCUUGCUUAAGGGUCCCAUCUGAACUCCACCUAACCUGUCCUUCCCCACAGAUGAUGGUGCAGUAGGGGAGGAAAAUGGGGUCCUGAGAGGGCUCAGUCCCCCUCCAUGGAAUGUCAGGAGCCUCCUUCAGUAAAAGGGCCAGUGAGAUUCUCACUAUGUGUAAGCAUUUAAUGGAUUGUAUGUAUAUAAUAUCAAUAAGAUCAAAUACAAUGCAUGUUUGUACUCGACCCAGACACAUAUUAUUGAGAUGUUUAUAGAUUGACCAUGUUGGGUAGAUUGGCUUACUUCACGGAGCAUAAUAGUUUCUAGAUUCAUCCGCUUACUGGCAAAAGACAUUAAGUCACGAUUUCAUGAUUAUUUAUAAAUAUAUAUUUUUAGUUGUUGAUAGAACUUUCUGCUUAUUUAUUUAUUUAUAUGUGGUGGUGAACCUAACCCAGUGCCUCACAAGUACUCUACCACUAAGCUACAACCCCAGAGAACACUUGAUUCAGUUUGAUAUUUUUCUGCCUAUAUUAAUAUAUUAUCUUUAAAUAACAUUUUAAUGUAGAACUAUUACUUUUAGACUUUUGCUCCUAGAAAUUCAUUGUUAAUAUCUCUCACACUUACUUGGAAUGCAUAGAACUAUUUAUUUUGUAUUGCAAAGGGUGUUCUGUAAAUAUGAUACUUUAAGUGUUUCAUCAGAAAUUAUUAGUUAAUCAUCUGUUCAUUGCAAACAUGACAGUAAAAUCAUAUUGGGACAAAAAUUAUAAGUAGAUAAUUAAAGUUAACAUUGUACAGCUAUGCAAUGCUAUUUAAAUUCAUAUAAAACAUUGAAUUCAGAAAUUGUUGGUUCUGGAGAUGGAAACCAAGACCUCACACAUGUUGUGCAGGUGUUCUACUAUGAGCUAUAAACCAACCUGCUCUAUUCAAAUUAUUAAUCUAUUAGAAUGGUUAACCCACUGAUGGAAGUCAGGGCCCUUGUAAUCCAGACUUUUCACCUCUUAAAACUUCAGCACUGCCACCUGAGCUUUGGGGGACAUUCCAGACCAAAACCAUGACAUUUAUGAAAACAAAACUAAAGUAAAUGGGGAAAUCUUUAGAACAUAUGGUUAAGCAAAACAUUCCCAGAUUUGACAAUGAAAUAAAACCUAGAAAAGUGAAGAUGAAUAAAUUAAUAAACUUCUGUUCAGUGGAAUCCCUGAUUCAGUGGAUAAAAAUAUAAGUUAAAGACUCAAUGAACAUGCAAGCUGCAUGUGGUGGCCAUGCCUGCCAUUCCAAAAACGUGGGAGGCUGAGACAGGAUGAUGGCCUAAGACUCAAUUCAAGGCCAGCCUCCACAACUUCCUGAAACCCCAUCUUAAAAAUAAAAAAAAAAAAAAUACUGGGGACAUAAAUCAUUUGUAAAGUGCCCAAGUGCCCUAGGGUUCAAUUCUCAAUCCCCCCCCCCCACUAAAAGAAAAAAAGAAAAAAAUAUAUAUAAACUCCACUUUCAGCAAAGUUCUUCUGUUUUGAAUGUAUAAGGUAUUCUCAAAACUCAACAUAGAACAAAAACAAACAAUCCUAAAAGAAAAAGGCAAGAAUCAAGGGCAUUAUGCUCAAAGAGAAUACAGUCACAGGGAAUGUGUUCAAUGUACUUUGCCAUAAGGAUUCCUGAACUAAGAUGAGUGGGACAAUGGUCAAGGCAUGAGAUUGGUACAUCCAUGGACCAGGAUACCACUUAACAAAGAGAAAAUACACUGCUGACACACAACAGCUUGGACAAGUCACCAGAGUCUCAUGCUGAAACUCUCUGAAAGGAAACAUACCACCUGAGUCCACUGAAGCAACACUGGUCAGAUGACCAGGUCACAGACACAGAAGACAACUUCAAGGCUGUCAGGGGUGAAGGAUGUGCCAGGACUGGGAGGGACAGAGGUGAAAAGAAAGGGAGACAGGCCAGCUGCUCAACACCAGAGCCCUUCUACACCCUGACUGUGGGGCUUUCAGCACCUGUUGAGGCCACUACACGGGGUUUCAAGAUGAGUCCACCCAGGAAGGCUGGGUAAAGUGCAAGGGGUCUCCCCACUAAUUCUGUCUCAGUGUGCAUCUGAAAUUACCUCGCUAUAAAACAAUUAGCCCUUUUAAAGAGCUUAGGCUUCAGGAUAAAACUAGAAGGCCCUGCUCACAGGAUGAAAAAUACUGAAAUAACAAAGUUGAAUGGUCCAAGCACAGGACCAACAGCAGCUGUGAUCCACUGGAGGUGACCACAAGGGCAUGGGCAAGAGGGCUGAACCCUGCUCCCUGCUGAAACUUCAGCCUGAUCUUCCGUGGUAACUAUGGCAUCCUGCCCUGGAAAUCCACACUUCACCUCCAUAACCCUCAAUGUGAACUUUGAAAGUGGCUGCAUUUCCAGGGAGACUGGCUGGGACGAGUCUAUAGAGAAGGCGCCUGGCCCCACCUACUGUCCGCCCAUUCCCCAGCACCCUUGUACCCGCCUGUACUCACACAGAGUCGCAGCUUCUUCUCUGGGGGCGAUUUCCUCAGCCAGCCAGAGUGCACUAAUUGGCUGCUAUCCAUGCUGCCCGCGGUGAUAGACCUGAGCGCAGAGUCAGUUGCACAGGCUGGGAGAGGAGACCUGGGCAUGCUUGUAUGCUCACUAGCCACGGAAGUCCUCAGCACCACGACCCCCUGGCCAGCUGCCUUAUGCAGGUCUGGAGACCUUCAGGCCUGCCACGGAAAUAACCCCUUCCCUCUGAGAAGGAGGGGGUGAUGCUGAAGGCCCCCUGAGCCUCGAGGGGUGGGGUGAAGUGUCUCUGCAUUUUCGAAACCAUCUGAAUGUUAACAUAGAGUACCCGGUACAACAUAAACACUAUGUAACAGUUUAGAAAUCUGCAUGGUUUGGCUGGGGCUGAGGUGUGUGGUGAAGUCAGGUGCACCCAAUUCAUCUUUCCCUAGAGGUUGGUCUUCUGCAUACCCGUGGACAUUUUUGCAACAUUUUUGCCAUCAAGACUGGCAGUUAGUUGGGGAUAGGUCACAUUAAUUCAGAAGCUCCUCUGGGUCUAAUUUCCUUAAACAAAAGUCCUGGAUUGUUGGUUACAAUUCCAUGUGGAAACAGAGAGUCUUGGAGGGAUAGUGUGGCUCCAUGUCUUCUGUGUACAUAUCAUCCUUCUCUUGCUCUCCUACCCCCAAAGCUACUGUGAAAUGAACCUUCAUUUGCAAUCUAUUUUAGUAUUUAGAGGAUUGAAAUGAAACUAAGAGUAUUGUUUUUUAACAGAGUCCCAUCCAAUCACAGUAGGGAGGUCUGAACUGACCAAAUGAGACAAACACCAUUUGCAACCUGAAAAGCUGACUUUGUAACCAGUUGAGUUGUUUUUGUACCUCACAUCUCUUUUCUGUUUGUAAAUGCCCCCUGAUCCUGUGGCCCUAUUCUUCUACUUUUGUGCUGCUGGAUUGUGAAUUGUUCUUUUAAAAAAAGGUUUAUUCAAUAAAUUGCUUUGCUUCACUUGGUGAAGUUUCUUCAUUUAAAAAUGACUUUGGGAUGUUUAUUAUUUUAUUUUUUGCCAAACUUUCCCAUCUCUCCCCCCUUCUUUCUGCAGCUUUUGGUAACUUCUAGUCUACUCUCAACUUCUGUUAUUCUUCCUUCUUAGAUAUUUUUAGAAUUUUAUUCAUCUAAAUGAAUUUUAUACUUUUUACACAAAGUGCUCAAUUUUUAAAGAAAUCAUGUUGGGAUUUUAAAAGAACAUGUAUGAAGCUGUAUAAAUUAAUAUGGAAAAAUACAUUGUAACAAAAUUAUAUAUUCCUUAUUACUCAGGCAUAAAGAAGAAUGAAAUUAUGGCAUUUGCUGGAAUGGAUGUGUUAUGGAGAGGCACUCCAGGAAACACUGUAAGUUUGAAUUUGAAAUCAAAAGAGAGUUUUAUUUACCUUGCCAGGGACUGUCACCCACCAUAGAGACUCAACCUCUGUAGGAGGACAGCAGCUUUCUGGUCCAUCCAAGAAGAAUAUAAGCAUAAAACCUACAACUUAGUGACUUGCUAAUAAUCAUGUAAGCUAGACAAUCAGAGAAAUUAAAACAUUAACAUGUGGGACCUGUGGGCUUUAGGCAGGACUGGAAAUUUCCAGUCAGCAAGCAAGUGAUAAACAUAAGCACUAAUAAGUAGCUGAAUUAGAAAUAAACAUAUAGAAAUAAAUGUUUUUAUAUGUAUUAAUCAUAACCAGUUAGGAAAAAACAUAUAGGUAAAAACAUUGCCUUCAUAAUAGCUACAGCAAAUUUAUAAUACAUUAAAAAUUUUUAUUGAUCUGGAAGAAAAUUAUAAAUCUUUUUACUGAGAUGCUUAAUAGUCCACAAGUCCUCAUAGGAGGAAGGACACAGGUCUGGAGAGGAAUGCCAUAAAUAUUUGGUUUUUGCUUAGUUGAGACAGAAUCUAUGUUGUCCAGGCUGGCCUUGAACUCCUGGGCUCAACUGAUCCUUUUACCUCAGCCUCCCAAGCAGCUGGAACAACAGGCAUGCAACACCAUGCCUGGUUAAUAAACCUUUCAUGGCCAUGAUUCUGUUGUAUAUUUUCUUUAUAGAUAACUUCUUACUUUUUAUAAGUUAAAAUAUACUAGAAAGGGCAAGCAGCAUAGGCCCUCUCUUCAUUCCCUGACCCCAAAUUAAGCCUCUGGAGAUGGGGCUGCCCAGGGGACUCUGCUGCACAGCUAGAUCUGGCAGUGACUCAGAAGCCACUUUUUGCAGAACAGAGACCUCUGAAUUUCUUAGUAUUCCUGCCAAGGAAUAGAUUUCAAAUAAACACUUAAUUUAAGACUUUUUAAUGAUUCAAACUAUUGAAGAAGCUGUACUUACACAAUUUCACAUUGUCUUCACAGAAUAAUUUUGUGCAAUACUGUCUGAAUUAUUUUUCUCUAUAGGGAAGCUGCAUAAAAUAUUCUACAUCAACCCGGAUUCUUAAACGUGAAACAGAGAUAGUUCCAUUACAAAUAAAAAUUGUGCAUAAUAUAGUCAUUUAAAAUAUACAUAUAUAAUUAUUAUGCUUAAUGUAAAACAAAACACAUACAAAAAUUGUUUCUAAUGGCACUACCACAGGCAAGGGAAAAGCUCUUUCUUGAAGAAUGACAAAAAAAAUCUUUAUUUUUAUGUAAAAACACAAAUAUACAUAUAGUACAUAAAUUGAUGAUGAGCAUAUGUUGGUAUGAAAAUUUCAACAAAGAAGCCCAAAAAUUUAAGAAAAAAAAGUGUUUCAAUGAGGAUUUGGUGGUUGAGACAUAAUGAACAAAUCUGUGAAGAAAUUCUAUUUAUGAUCUUUAAAUAUCAACAUUGGUAUAAGACCAGAAUUACAUGAAAGUUUCUAUAAACAGAUGGAUUUUGCAAUAGUUAGUAUUUGCCAAUUUUGCACGAAGAAAUAAAAUACUGAGAUUGGAUAAUAAGUUCAAUAUCAGGCUGGGGGUGGGUAUGCAGCUCAGUGAUAGAGUACAUGCAUGGGCUGAGGAUAGCAUGUAUGGGUUCCAUACUACAAAACGAAACCAGUACCAAAAAAGUACAAUGUUUUACUUCAGAUUAAGGCAAAUGACAGCCCACUUUACCAGAUUAUUUCAAUGUGAACUAGUCUCUUCCCUGGAUCCUCAUCAUGCCUGAAUGUACAUCAUCUUUUGUCUCAUAAAGUUUAGGAAAAGGUGAUUGCCCAAUUUCAUCAUAUUAUUCUCCUGCCUCAAUAAACCUAGAUCAAAACACCAAAUACAAAAAGAAAGUCCCCAAGAGCUCAAAACAAGUUAUUUUAAUAACAAUUGUGGUUAUUAUAAACAUGCAAAAUUACAAGCUGGAGAAGGAUCUACUUUUUCCUUAAGUACCUAUAAAUCCCCAAUAUCUGGAAAUUCCUGCUGUGACAUUGUUCUUUCUAUUGAGGAGACCCCUCCUAUUGCAACUGAAGUUUACUUGGUAUUGCUCCUCCUUCAAUAGAAGAGUACUCAUAGUUGUUUAUUAAACUGACAAUCUCUUACUCUGAGAAGGAAACUAGAAACAUUAUCACAAAACGCUGAGACUGACUUGUUGCUCAUGUUUUCUAGUAAAUGUGACAUGUGGCCCCAGAGUCAGUGAAGACUAUCCAGUCACCACCCAGUUAUCAGCUCAUUAUGAUCUCUCUCUCCACCUUAAGCCACUUUGAUAAGCAGGAGAAUAAAGAACACACACUUGAGCACACAAUCUGAUCUCUGCAACCUGAGGCCAGACCAGCAACCUACCCUUCUGGGGAGACAAGUGUUCCUCUCUACUUCCUGUUACUGUCUUUCUUGCAGCCACCCUUCCCUAAUGGACUUGCUCCAUCACAGGAGCAAACUGAGGGAAUGCAACAGAGAACAGCUGGUGAAGGCUCCAGGAGAUGCAAAGCAAAGUGCCCAAACCCAUAUGCCCUUUCCAGGAAGGAAGGUGGAGAAGAGAGAGGUUGCCCUGCACCACCACUUUGGCUCCUGGGAAUAUACCACACAAACCUACAAAAGAAAAGGAAGAUUUGGUUUUCAUGUUUGAUGUCAAGAAUCUCUAGUCACAUAAUUGGACCAAAAGUUCCCUCUGGAAACCAUCUCAGCCUACAUUUUACCUUACAGAAGAGGAGAGAUGUUACCAUCUGGACCUGCUAAGCUAAACACAGUCUCCCAGUUACAGAAUUUCAGGAGGAAUACAGGUCUCCCAGAUUCUAUUCCACUGUUUUUCUUACUACAGUAGUCCCCUCAUCCACAGUUUCAGUGCUCACUGGUUAAAUAAAACUUGAACAUAUUAAUAGGAAAUUCCAGAAAUAAACAAUUCACAAGUUUUACGUUAUGCUCCAUUCUGAGUAUUUUGAUGAAAUCUCACCGUUUCCUUCCAUCUCAUUCCAUCAAUCCCAGAACAUGAAGUAUUCCUUUGUAGAGUAUACCCAUGCUGCAUGUACCACCUACCCAUUAGUCACUCAGUAACCAUAUCCAUUGCAGAAUUGUUAUUGCAGGUGCUUAUGUUCAAGUAACUAUUAAUGGCCCCAAAGUGCAAACUAUUAAAGUGUAUUAUUAUUAUUAUUUUAAAUAUUAUAAUUAAUCUUUUACUGUGACUAAUCUAUAAAUUAAAGUAUCAUAAAUAUUAAUGUACAUGGAAAAACC
RNAcentral lists this long non-coding RNA (25624 nucleotides) under Marmota monax (woodchuck). Lineage: Eukaryota; Metazoa; Chordata; Mammalia; Rodentia; Sciuridae. The record is from RNAcentral.